Molecule: ribosomal RNA, 497 nt
Filed under: uncultured bacterium
Lineage: Bacteria
Description: partial 16S ribosomal RNA
Rfam family: Bacterial small subunit ribosomal RNA
Source: RNAcentral
GAUGAACGCUGGCGGCGUGCCUAAUACAUGCAAGUCGAGCGAACAGACGAGGAGCUUGCUCCUCUGACGUUAGCGGCGGACGGGUGAGUAACACGUGGAUAACCUACCUAUAAGACUGGGAUAACUUCGGGAAACCGGAGCUAAUACCGGAUAAUAUAUUGAACCGCAUGGUUCAAUAGUGAAAGACGGUUUUGCUGUCACUUAUAGAUGGAUCCGCGCCGCAUUAGCUAGUUGGUAAGGUGACGGCUUACCAAGGCAACGAUGCGUAGCCGACCUGAGAGGGUGAUCGGCCACACUGGAACUGAGACACGGUCCAGACUCCUACGGGAGGCAGCAGUAGGGAAUCUUCCGCAAAGGGCGAAAGCCUGACGGAGCAACACCGCGUGAGUGAUGAAGGUCUUCGGAUCGUAAAACUCUGUUAUUAGGGAAGAACAAAUGUGUAAGUAACUAUGCACGUCUUGACGGUACCUAAUCAGAAAGCCACGGCUAACUACGUG